GCGGCCGAUCAGCUGAUUUUGGUCAUUUUGAACAUAUUCGACACCGCCUCUCUCGCUGCCCCAGCGCCUCCCCGGGCCCGGGCAGGGGCUGGGUGACCUUUCUUAUACCCAGUGACACCUUUUGGUCUGCUUUUUCAGGUCUUUGGCACAUUAGAGGGGUGACCCACGACCCCUCGUGGCUCAGAGUGUUGUCUUUUAUGCUACUGAAGACAACUCAACGGUCACCUACCUUGGCCGACGACGUGGAGGCUGUCCGGGAGCCUUAACUCAG
Long non-coding RNA from Thrips palmi, 271 nucleotides. RefSeq lists it as uncharacterized. The record is from RefSeq and is a predicted model, not a curated record. The transcript has 2 exons. Lineage: Eukaryota; Metazoa; Arthropoda; Insecta; Thysanoptera; Thripidae.